RNAcentral lists this ribosomal RNA (584 nucleotides) under uncultured bacterium. RNAcentral's name for it is "partial 16S ribosomal RNA". It matches the Rfam family "Bacterial small subunit ribosomal RNA", at positions 355 to 932 of the family's 1533-position model. The record is from RNAcentral.
UGGGGAAUUUUGGACAAUGGGCGAAAGCCUGAUCCAGCAAUGCCGCGUGUGUGAAGAAGGCCUUCGGGUUGUAAAGCACUUUUGUCCGGAAAGAAAUCCUUGGCUCUAAUACAGUCGGGGGAUGACGGUACCGGAAGAAUAAGCACCGGCUAACUACGUGCCAGCAGCCGCGGUAAUACGUAGGGUGCAAGCGUUAAUCGGAAUUACUGGGCGUAAAGCGUGCGCAGGCGGUUUGCUAAGACCGAUGUGAAAUCCCCGGGCUCAACCUGGGAACUGCAUUGGUGACUGGCAGGCUAGAGUAUGGCAGAGGGGGGUAGAAUUCCACGUGUAGCAGUGAAAUGCGUAGAGAUGUGGAGGAAUACCGAUGGCGAAGGCAGCCCCCUGGGCCAAUACUGACGCUCAUGCACGAAAGCGUGGGGAGCAAACAGGAUUAGAUACCCUGGUAGUCCACGCCCUAAAACGAUGUCAACUAGUUGUUGGGGGAUUCAUUUCCUUAGUAACGUAGCUAACGCGUGAAGUUGACCGCCUGGGGAGUACGGUCGCAAGAUUAAAAACUUCAAAUGGAAUUGACGGGGUCAUAGCUG